This 648-nucleotide ribosomal RNA is filed under the name Triticum aestivum (bread wheat). Its description in RNAcentral is "partial small subunit ribosomal RNA". The record is from RNAcentral. Lineage: Eukaryota; Viridiplantae; Streptophyta; Magnoliopsida; Poales; Poaceae.
AUGGCUCAUCCCUCCGGUGUGCCACCCCCCUCUCGAAAACAUCACAUCCCCCUUCUAUCUUGCCUACCAUCCUCCAAAGAAUCGACCCUCCCUUGUUGCAUUAUUGAAACAACAUCGGCGCCUUCCCUGUCCUCCGUGCAUCUAGAUCUGGUACCACAGAGGAUACCUUCAUCCUCUCGAUGGUUAGAUUUGGUCUUCAUGGCAUCCCCAUGUUUAGAUCUGGUCUCAUCGACGACAUGGGAUGCCUGCAUCCUCUCGAUGGCUAGAUCUAGGUGCUCGCUCUUCUCCCGAUCGCCACCGUGGUCAGGUCCGGUCUUCAAUCCUUCCUUCGUUUCCUGGUGGAUUGAUGUGGAAACAACACCGACAAUGAAUGGGAACCCUCCCUCACAUUAUCAACCUCAUUUAUUCUUUCUCGACCACAGGCAAUGCAUAGUUUCAGUGCAAGAAAAAGAUUAUCAAGGAGGAUUAUGGCUAACAAGCUACCACAUCUCCCUUCUAUUUUGCCGACCAUCCUCCAAAGUAUCGAUCAUCCCUUGUUGCGUUGGUGAAACACCGUCAAUGUGUUCCUUGUCCUCCAUGUAUCUAGAUCUAGUACCACAAACAGUUACUAAUGGCCAGAUCUGGUCUCCAUGUCAUCCCCACGUUUAG